This 887-nucleotide long non-coding RNA is filed under the name Anas platyrhynchos platyrhynchos (common mallard). RNAcentral's name for it is "lncRNA (ENSAPLG00000028037.1)". The record is from RNAcentral. Lineage: Eukaryota; Metazoa; Chordata; Aves; Anseriformes; Anatidae.
GCAAAAGGAAUCCUAACAAACAGACUGGCAGGUUGGGGUGGAUAUGGCAUCCUUAAGUUGGAAGUAUUGUUUUAUUAUACCAGCUUUGGGGCAGUGCCUGUCAGAGCAUCAGUUCAGCAGUGUUCAUGCAAGUAGCCUCGUGUAAUGCUGACUGUUGUCUAGCAAGUUGCCACACCAGCUGAGAAGAUCAAGGAGACAUGCAAAUGCUCAGGAACACAUACAGAGGUCUUCUACUUACCUGAGAGGAGAAGAGCUACAAAGAAUUAAUAUGGUAUGUUCAUCAUUAGUGGCUACAUACUCUGGAAAGUUGUUUCUAGGUAAUCUUUGUUAGCAAACACGCUUCUGUAGUUAGUGAAGGCCUCUAACUGGACACCACAACUUAGCUCCACAGAGGUGCUCCAGAAGAGAAAUGUUUAUUAUCCUUUAAAUGGAAGAAGGGGCAGGGGAAAUCUGGAGCAGGUAGGCAAUACUGCAUGGGACUAGCUCUGCUGCAUGUCUUUAUCUUCGUGUUGUGAACACCCCGACUGUGAAAAGAAGUGUACUCCAUCCCUUGCUGCAAGGGUUGUUGCAAUUUUUAGUUAACUGCUUCAAGCUGAUCUGAGAUACCAGAAUGAAGUGACAUGGAAGGCAAAAUGCCUUUCAAUUCAUCACUUAAAAAAAGCAAUAUAGGUUGCCUGAAAAUAGGACUUUAUCUCAGCUAAGGGCAGAUGAUGAUAAAAGAACUUAGCCUGAUUGCUCAUGUGCUACCUUUUUGACUGGAAAUAAUGAUCUUGGACUGCUGCUCUGCCACAAGCUGUCAUAUGACUUAGGGAAAGUUACUUUUUCUCUGUGCUUCUUUUUUUCCCCUCUCAAUUGCAUAGGUGAUUCUUAAGCUGUUUGAAGAGCAG